This 424-nucleotide ribosomal RNA is filed under the name uncultured bacterium. RNAcentral describes it as "partial 16S ribosomal RNA". It matches the Rfam family "Bacterial small subunit ribosomal RNA", at positions 360 to 776 of the family's 1533-position model. The record is from RNAcentral.
AAUAUUGGACAAUGGGCGAAAGCCUGAUCCAGCCAUGCCGCGUGUGUGAAGAAGGUCUUCGGAUUNUCAAGCACUUUAAGUUGGGANGAAGUGGUUGAAGCUAAUACCUUCAAUCUUUGACGUUACCAACAGAAUAAGCACCGGCUAACUCUGUGCCAGCAGCCGCGGUAAUACAGAGGGUGAAAGCGUUAAUCGGAAUUAUUGGGGGUAAAACGGGUGUAGGUGGUUCAGUAAGAUGGGAGUUGAAUCCCCGGGGUUAAACUGGGAACUGCUUUCAUAACUGCUGGGCUAGAGUACGGUAGAGGGUAGUGGAAUUUCCUGUGUAGCGGUGAAAUACGUAGAUAUAGGAAGGAACAUCAGUGGCGAAGGCGACUACCUGGACUGAUACUGACACUGAGGUGCGAAAGCGUGGGGAGCAAACAGG